This 401-nucleotide unclassified non-coding RNA is filed under the name uncultured fungus. Its description in RNAcentral is "partial contains 5.8S ribosomal RNA and internal transcribed spacer 2". The stretch from base 1 to 133 matches the Rfam family "5.8S ribosomal RNA", at positions 22 to 154 of the family's 154-position model. The record is from RNAcentral. Lineage: Eukaryota; Fungi.
UGGCUCUCGCAUCGAUGAAGAACGCAGCGAAAUGCGAUAAGUAAUGUGAAUUGCAGAAUUCAGUGAAUCAUCGAAUCUUUGAACGCAUCUUGCGCCCCUUGGUACUCCGAGGGGCAUGCCUGUUUGAGUGUCAUCUGAACCAUCAAGCUUACCAUGGCUGCUCUGUCUUUGGUUAGGCUUGGACUUUGGAGCGUGCGGCGAGAUUAUCUGGCUUUGCCGGGAAAGUCUUUCCGCUCCUCUCGAAAUGUAUCAGCGAGCCAAGCUGGUUCUCGUGUCGCGGCGUGAUAAGUCAUCGACGUCGCCUGAGUAAUCCAGUGCAGGCUCGCUCUCUCAGUCGUUGGCCGCCAGCGGAACAACGUCUCUGACGAUUCGACCUCAAAUCAGGUAGGACUACCCGCUGA